Molecule: transfer RNA, 72 nt
Filed under: Bos taurus (domestic cattle)
Lineage: Eukaryota; Metazoa; Chordata; Mammalia; Artiodactyla; Bovidae
Also listed under: 2 other names
Rfam family: tRNA
About the family: Transfer RNA (tRNA) molecules are approximately 80 nucleotides in length. Their secondary structure includes four short double-helical elements and three loops (D, anti-codon, and T loops).
Source: Rfam by way of RNAcentral
UCCCUGGUGGCUCAGAGGGUAAAGUGUCUGCCUGCAGUGCUGGAGACCUGGGUUCAAUUCCAAGGUUGGGAA